GACGAACGCUGGUGGCGUGGAUUAGGCAUGCAAGUCGAACGGUAUCAUCCUUUCGGGGGUGAGAGAGUGGCGAACUGGUGAGUAACACGUAGGUUAUCUACCCUCAAGACGGGGACAACCCAGGGAAACUUGGGCUAAUACCGGAUGUGAGCAACUUUUAGUUGUUUGAAAGGUGGCGUAAGCUGUCGCUUGGGGAUGAGCCUGCGUCCUAUUAGUUAGUUGGUGAGGUAACGGCUCACCUAGGCAAUGAUAGGUAGGCGGCCUUAACGGGUGGUCGCCCACACUGGGAUUGAGAUACGGCCCAGACUCCUACGGGAGGCAGCAGUCGAGAAUAGUCUACAAUGGUCGGAAGACUGAUAGUGCGACGCCGCGUGAACGAUGAAUCCCUUCGGGGUGUAAAGUUCUUUUAUAUGUGAGCAGUGCUUCUUAUAUUAACAGUAUGGGGAGAGAGAUAUUAGCAUAUGAAUAAGCAACGGCUAACUCCGUGCCAGCAGCCGCGGUAAAACGU
RNAcentral lists this ribosomal RNA (508 nucleotides) under uncultured bacterium. Its description in RNAcentral is "bacterial SSU rRNA". It matches the Rfam family "Bacterial small subunit ribosomal RNA", at positions 28 to 528 of the family's 1533-position model. The record is from RNAcentral.